GACGAACGCUGGCGGCGUGCUUAACACAUGCAAGUCGAACGGAAAGGCCCUGCUUUUGUGGGGUGCUCGAGUGGCGAACGGGUGAGUAACACGUGAGUAACCUGCCCUUGACUUUGGGAUAACUUCAGGAAACUGGGGCUAAUACCGGAUAGGAGCUCCUGCUGCAUGGUGGGGGUUGGAAAGUUUCGGCGGUUGGGGAUGGACUCGCGGCUUAUCAGCUUGUUGGUGGGGUAGUGGCUUACCAAGGCUUUGACGGGUAGCCGGCCUGAGAGGGUGACCGGCCACAGUGGGACUGAGAUACGGCCGAGACUCCUACGGGAGGCAGCAGUGGGGAAUAUUGCACAAUGGGCGGAAGCCUGAUGCAGCAACGCCGCGUGCGGGAUGACGGCCUUCGGGUUGUAAACCGCUUUCGCCUGUGACGAAGCGUGAGUGACGGUAAUGGGUAAAGAAGCACCGGCUAACUACGUG
Molecule: ribosomal RNA, 468 nt
Filed under: uncultured bacterium
Lineage: Bacteria
Description: partial 16S ribosomal RNA
Rfam family: Bacterial small subunit ribosomal RNA
Source: RNAcentral